This is a long non-coding RNA of Alligator mississippiensis (American alligator), 908 nucleotides long. RefSeq lists it as uncharacterized. The record is from RefSeq and is a predicted model, not a curated record. The transcript has 3 exons. NCBI's taxonomy places the organism in Eukaryota, Metazoa, Chordata, Crocodylia, Alligatoridae.
UAUAAGAGGCAAGACCUGGCUCGUAUGAGGAGGAGGGGAGCUGAGACCAGAGGCAGUUGCUGACAGGCAUCUAAGAUAGUAGGAGUUCCCUACCAACAGGGAAGGAUGAGGAAACUCCUGGCCAGAAGAGAGAGAACCUGAAUGCCAGAGCAGCAUUGGUCACUGUGGUAGGAGAGAAAACCUGGAUAAUAUAUGGAAUCUACUGCAGGAAGACUGGGGAACUGCAUAAACCAGUCAGACUCAUUUCUGGAGCUCUGUUUGAAGUCUUGGGAUCUCCUCAGUAAAGGACCUUUGGAAUGAAUGAAAGACACGUGACCUUACCAGAGAGAGAGACUCACAGAAAAGUCAGGCUGGCAGAAGCUGUAAGACUCAGUAAUCUACGUCACUGGAUCUAGGACUAUACACUGUAUGCAUGCCUGGCAGUGGUUCUCAACCUUUUCGGACUCAAGACUCCCCUAAGAGAACUCCAGCUCUUAAUUUUCACUCUUUUUUUUGACUACAGAAAAAUAAUCCAGCAAUUCUUCUUUUGCAAAGAACUUGGAAGGACUCCAAUAGGUCAGAAUGUUUUUAGCACUAUGAAUUCCUAUUUGAAAUAUCUUGGUUUACCUUGUAAAUGAUGUUUGCACACCAGCAGUGCUAACAUUGUGUGGCACCCCGUGGUGCCCUUGGAAGGAUCUCAAGGCACCACAGGGUCCUGUGGCACUUUGGUUGAGUAUCACUGGUCUAUGGUAUUUACAUUUAACUCACUUUUAAUUAACCUUAUUUCUCUUUUAUUCUCUGUGUGGCUUUACUCACUGUUUACCUCCAACCUACCACUAGAGGGAACCAUGAUAAAGUAUCUUAAUGAAAUGGUAUGAUGCUGACAAUCCCCCUUUCUGUCUAUUCUUUGAGCAUUCCAUGUGCUAUUG